AAACCGUUCAGGGGUAAACCUGAGAAACCCGAAAGAUCGAAUGGGGAGAUUCAUCGUCGGCGAAGCUGGCCUCACGGCGGUUCGCGAUGUCAGCGCGCGAUCUCGGUCGCGCGCGCGGCACGCGUCCGCCAUGUUUGCGUCCGGCGGCGCCGGCGUGCACUUCUCCCCUAGUAGGACGUCGCGACCCGUUGGGUGUCGGUCUACGGCCCGUGCGGUAAGUCUGCGCGUGAGGUUCCGCGUCUCGCGACGCGGUCCUCGCCCAGACCCUCGGAGUCCCGACCGGCUGCCCGGCGGUAUAAUUAGAAACACGGUAUCGGGCCGCAAAGCACCUCGGUGCAAUGCGUCGGACCCGCCGCAAGCGAGCGUCAGUGUUAACCCGGUGGUUGCGGACCAAGCGCCGUCCCCGGGCCUGACCAGCUGUUGGCAGGCGGUGCUCUCCGACAGGCUCAUUCCAUGAUACCGGUCGGCGAUGCUAAUGCUUUGGGUACUUUCAGGA
RNAcentral lists this ribosomal RNA (496 nucleotides) under Hartigia trimaculata. RNAcentral's name for it is "eukaryotic LSU rRNA". Lineage: Eukaryota; Metazoa; Arthropoda; Insecta; Hymenoptera; Cephidae. The record is from RNAcentral.